This 71-nucleotide transfer RNA is filed under the name Bos taurus (domestic cattle). It matches the Rfam family "tRNA". From Rfam's summary of the family: Transfer RNA (tRNA) molecules are approximately 80 nucleotides in length. Their secondary structure includes four short double-helical elements and three loops (D, anti-codon, and T loops). Further hydrogen bonds mediate the characteristic L-shaped molecular structure. tRNAs have two regions of fundamental functional importance: the anti-codon, which is responsible for specific mRNA codon recognition, and the 3' end, to which the tRNAs corresponding amino acid is attached (by aminoacyl-tRNA synthetases). tRNAs cope with the degeneracy of the genetic code in two manners: having more than one tRNA (with a specific anti-codon) for a particular amino acid; and 'wobble' base-pairing, i.e. permitting non-standard base-pairing at the 3rd anti-codon position. The record is from Rfam by way of RNAcentral. Lineage: Eukaryota; Metazoa; Chordata; Mammalia; Artiodactyla; Bovidae. RNAcentral also lists the same sequence under 2 other names.
UCCUGGUGGCUCAGAUGGUAAAGCGUCUGCCUGCAAUGUAGGAGACCCGGGUUCGAUUCCUGGGUCGGGAA